Molecule: long non-coding RNA, 1586 nt
Organism: Scylla paramamosain (green mud crab)
Lineage: Eukaryota; Metazoa; Arthropoda; Malacostraca; Decapoda; Portunidae
Exons: 3
Source: RefSeq, a predicted model, not a curated record
UGUACAGGGAGCGUUUAGCAGGAGCCUGACUUGCCUCGCUACUAGCACUACUAAUACUGGGCUGGCUGUCCUUCUCGCCUUGACGCGCUAACACAGAUGGCGUCAUUCACUACUCGGGACCUUCACUCUUGUUCUGAAAGGUGAUGCACUUAAUGAGGAAUUCCAACGAUGCUUCAUUUUCGGCAGCGAUCGUGGUUUUUCCUUCCCUUGCUGAGAGUGGCACCGCUUCCCGCACACAUCAGCUGAUCCAGUGUAAACAAGGAUGAACUGGUGGAGCAGGAGAAGGAGGAAGAGGAGAAGAAUGAGAAUGAGAAUGAGGAGGAGGUGGAGGAGGAUGAUGAGAAUGAGAAUGAGGAGGAGGAGGAGAAUGAAAAUGAGAAUGAGAAGAAGGAGAAAAAAAGAAAAAAGAAAAAAAAGGAAAAAGGAAAACACCAAGAUGAUGAAUAAGAACAACAACAAGAUGAAUAACAAGAAAAAGAACAUUAGCAAGAAAAAGAACGUUAACAAGAAAAACAACAACAACAACAAAAACAACAAAAACAACAACAACAACAACAACAACAACAACAACAACAACAACAACAAAAGCAAGUAGUGCAAGAAGAAGAAAAAGCUGAAGAUAAAGCUAAUGAAGCAAGAGAGAAAAAAGAAAGACAAGAGAAAAACGAAACAAACUAACAAAGAAACAAAGAGACGGAGAAGAAAAGGCCACACGAGGAAUUAAGACCAGGACCAGAAGGAAGAGGAGAAGGAAACAGGUAAGGAGGAACACAAAGGAAGGAGGAGAAGAAGAAGAAAGAAGAAAGAGAGAGAAGAAAAAAAAACAAGGAAAACAAAAAAGAAGAUAACGGGAGAGUAUCAAGGAGGAGGAGGAGGAGGAGGAGGAUGAGGAGGAGGAGGAGGAGGAAGGGGGAUGCGGGCGUUACCUCAUAUCAGCUAAUCGCCUCCUAGAUUGCCUCACGAUCUUGUCCUCAAAGUUAUUUCUGGCGUGACAAAUUAAGUUUAAUAGGGAAAAAAUUAGUAAAAAGAGAUGAGAUCGUGAGUUACUGGGUGUAAAAAAAACUGUCGUACCUUGGGAUCUGUUUUUAGGGUAUACUGUGGUUUCUGUGUGUUUCUCCCUCUUUCUUAUAAAAAAAAAAGUACAAUAUUUGUUUUUCUGGUAUAUAAAUAAUAGGAAUGAUAAUUAAAACGUGAAUUCGUUGGAUGUGAAAAGAAACUGUAAUGUUCUCAACAAAUCUUUUCAAUUUAUAUUUUUCGUUUCUUUCUUAAAAAGUACAAUAAUUUGAUUUUCUAGUACAGAAAAUAAUGAAACGUGAUUUGGAGGAUAUGAAAAACUAAAUUUUUAGUAUUUUUUAUUUAUUUUCCUUUCUCUCUUCUUUCAAACUACAGGAAUUUGACUCAGUUAUAAAAAAAUGGAAGUAAUGAAGUAGAACGUGAUUUAUUGUAUACUGAAAAAAAAAUCAUCUCGGCGUGUUUAAUUUGAUUUAUUUUUUUCUUCCUCAAAAUAAAAGAAAAGACUUUCUGGUUUAUUAAAAUAUAAAUAAAAACAUUUAUUUACUGGAUGUGAGAAAAAAAGGUUAUCUUAG